AAUGAACGCUGGCGGCGCGCCUAAUACAUGCAAGUCGAGCGAGAAGACGUAGCAAUACGUUUGUAAAGCGGCGAACGGGUGAGGAAUACAUGGGUAACCUACCCUCGAGUGGGGAAUAACUAGCCGAAAGGUUAGCUAAUACCGCGUACGCUCCUUGGACUUCGGUUCAGGGAGGAAAGCGAUACCGUGGGUAUCGCGCUCUUGGUUGGGCUCAUGUCCUAUCAGCUUGUUGGUGAGGUAACGGCUCACCAAGGCUUCGACGGUAGCUGGUCUGAGAGGACGAUCAGCCACACUGGCACUGCGACACGGGCCAGACUCCUACGGG
This 325-nucleotide ribosomal RNA is filed under the name uncultured bacterium. Its description in RNAcentral is "bacterial SSU rRNA". It matches the Rfam family "Bacterial small subunit ribosomal RNA", at positions 29 to 345 of the family's 1533-position model. The record is from RNAcentral.